RNAcentral lists this ribosomal RNA (400 nucleotides) under uncultured bacterium. RNAcentral's name for it is "bacterial SSU rRNA". It matches the Rfam family "Bacterial small subunit ribosomal RNA", at positions 48 to 445 of the family's 1533-position model. The record is from RNAcentral.
CUUACACAUNAAGUGAACGCUGAAGCCCUGGUGCUUGCACCGGGGUGGAUGAGUGGCGAACGGGUGAGUAACACGUGAGUAACCUGCCCCCGACUUCGGGAUAAGCCCGGGAAACUGGGUCUAAUACCGGAUAUGACGACCGAAGGCAUCUUUGGUUGUGGAAAGUUUUUUCGGUUGGGGAUGGGCUCGCGGCCUAUCAGUUUGUUGGUGAGGUAAUGGCUCACCAAGACGACGACGGGUAGCCGGCCUGAGAGGGCGACCGGCCACACUGGACUGAGACACGGCCCAGACUCCUACGGGAGGCGGCAGUGGGGAAUAUUGCACAAUGGGCGAAAGCCUGAUGCAGCGACGCCGCGUGGGGGAUGACGGCCUUCGGGUUGUAAACCUCUUUCAGCAGGGA